Molecule: ribosomal RNA, 253 nt
Filed under: uncultured bacterium
Lineage: Bacteria
Description: partial 16S ribosomal RNA
Rfam family: Bacterial small subunit ribosomal RNA
Source: RNAcentral
GCCAGAGGGUGCAAACGUUGUUCGGAAUUACUGGGCGUAAAGCGCGUGUAGGCGGCUGCGUGUGUCGGGCGUGAAAUCCCAUGGCUCAACCAUGGAAGUGCACCCGAAACUGCGUAGCUAGAGUCCUGGAGAGGAAGGUGGAAUGCUUGGUGUAGAGGUGAAAUUCGUAGAUAUCAAGCGGAACACCGGUGGCGAAGGCGGCCUUCUGGACAGUGACUGACGCUGAGACGCGAAAGCGUGGGGAGCAAACAGG